UUCACAACCAUAUGCUGCUGGUGGAACCACAAUCAAUUUCCUCACAUUUUGGAGUAUGCAUGGCUUCCAAGAAACCUUUUGAAGUACAACUCAUCAAGAUGUUCAGCUUUAAAGUCCCCACAAAGAUCUGUUAGUCCUUAACAUGAAAAACUACGCAGAGCUUUCGUCAAUAAACUAAAUUAAAUCACCCACCAAUUUAUGAAAACAUAAAUGCAUUGUUUGAAUUAAGAUUUUGUUUGAAAAUGGACAUCCAGAGAAGCAUGGUGGACUGAAAAUAGCUUCUCUUUCAGCACAGCCAAUGUCAGCCUUCCGAAAUAAAUUAGAUAGGGAACAAAACCAAAUGAGCCAAUUCUGUUUUAUGACAAGGCUUCAUUAACUGAAUCUUCAUACUCAGAGUGCAAAUGUCAACAUGUUGCCCCCAACAAUGUGGUUCUCAUUUUACCAACCUCGGAAGGCUGGAAGCAUGAGUCAACCUUGAACUAGUCAGGAUCGAACUCCUGGCUGUGGGCUGAGUUAGCCUGCAAUAUUGCAUUCUAACCACUGUGCCACCACCAAAUAUAGAUGUUGCUAUUUCUGAUAAGAGAUGAGAUAUGGGAAGAAGAAUUCCUGGAUUUAAAUGUCAGAGAAAAUAAUAAAUUUUUGAAAUUGUA
Long non-coding RNA from Pantherophis guttatus, 650 nucleotides. RefSeq lists it as uncharacterized. Lineage: Eukaryota; Metazoa; Chordata; Lepidosauria; Squamata; Colubridae. The record is from RefSeq and is a predicted model, not a curated record.